AAGCAUGGUGAGAGCAUUUCUUAAGCAUCUCCUUCAUUCUCUCCCAACUCUUAUAAACAGAUUCUCCUUCUAACUGAGUAAAAGAAGUAAUAUCAUUUAUAAGCAU
Dendrobium catenatum is the source of this 106-nucleotide small nucleolar RNA. The record is from RefSeq and is a predicted model, not a curated record. NCBI's taxonomy places the organism in Eukaryota, Viridiplantae, Streptophyta, Magnoliopsida, Asparagales, Orchidaceae.